RNAcentral lists this ribosomal RNA (1760 nucleotides) under Leptotrichia wadei DSM 19758. RNAcentral describes it as "bacterial LSU rRNA". It matches the Rfam family "Bacterial large subunit ribosomal RNA", at positions 1138 to 2925 of the family's 2925-position model. Lineage: Bacteria; Fusobacteriati; Fusobacteriota; Fusobacteriia; Fusobacteriales; Leptotrichiaceae. The record is from RNAcentral.
UAGCUCACUGGUCGAGAGUGCCUGCGCCGAAGAUGUAACGGGGCUAAGACAUAAACCGAAGCUGCGGAAGGUACCUUGUAUCUUGGUAGGAGAGCGUUCUGUAGGCCGUCGAAGGGAUGCCGCAAGGCCAUCCUGGAGGUAUCAGAAGCGAGAAUGCAGGAAUGAGUAGCGAGAAGGCGGGCGAGAAUCCCGCCGGCCGGAAGUCCAAGGUUUCCAGGGGAAGGCUUGUCCGCCCUGGGGAAGUCGGGACCUAAGCAUAAGCAAAAUUGUGACGGCGAAUGGAAAACAGGUUAAUAUUCCUGUACCGCUGUUAUCGCUUGAGAGACGGAGUGACGCAGGAAGGUAUGUGAGAAGGCUGACGGUUUAGCCUUUCUAAGGGCCCAGCGUGGGCGCGCAGGAAAAUCCGCGCGCCUAGACGUGAGACCUGACGGGGAAGUGCAUUUGCAUAAGUCGCAGAUCCUACACUGCCAGGAAAAACUUCUAUCGAUGAGAAGCAGCGCCCGUACUGUAAACCGACACAGGUGGACAGAGUGAGAAACUUAAGGCCGACAGGAUAACUCUAGCUAAGGAACUCUGCAAAAUAGCCCCGUAACUUCGGGAGAAGGGGUGCCUGACAUACCUGAAGAGAGAGACGCUCCCAGGGGAAACAGGCCGCAGUGAAGAGUCUCAAGCAACUGUUUACCAAAAACACAGGUCUAUGCUAAGCUGAAAGGCGACGUAUAUGGGCUGACACCUGCCCAGUGCCGGAAGGUUAAGAGGAGGGGUGAGAGCUCCGAUUUGAAGCCCCGGUGAACGGCGGCCGUAACUAUAACGGUCCUAAGGUAGCGAAAUUCCUUGUCGGGUAAGUUCCGACCUGCACGAAUGGUGAAAUGAUUUGAGAGCUGUCUUGGCUGGAGACCUGGUGAAGUUGUAAUGCCGGUGAAGAUACCGGCUACCUGCAGUAGGACGGAAAGACCCCGUGGAGCUUUACUGCAGCCUGGCAUUGGGUUCUGGCAGUGUGUGUAUAGGAUAGUUGGGAGACUGUGAUGCAGUGGCGUCAGCCAUUGCGGAGUCGCUGUUGGAAUACCAACCAUAUGCUGCCGGAAUUCUAAUCUGGCAACGGAGACAGUGCUAGGCGGGCAGUUUGACUGGGGCGGUCGCCUCCCAAAGAGUAACGGAGGCGCUCAAAGGUUCCCUCAGGCUGGAUGGAAAUCAGCCUGAGAGUGCAAACGCAUAAGGGAGCUUGACUGCAAGACUGACGGGUCGAGCAGGUACGAAAGUAGGAGUUAGUGAUCCGGCGGUUCCGCAUGGAAGGACCGUCGCUCAACGGAUAAAAGCUACCCCGGGGAUAACAGGCUGAUACUUCCCAAGAGUCCAUAUCGACGGAAGUGUUUGGCACCUCGAUGUCGGCUCGUCUCAUCCUGGGGCUGGAGAAGGUCCCAAGGGUUGGGCUGUUCGCCCAUUAAAGAGGCACGCGAGCUGGGUUCAGAACGUCGUGAGACAGUUCGGUCCCUAUCCACUGCAGGCGCCUGAAUACUGAAAAGAUCUGACCUUAGUACGAGAGGACCGGGUUGGACAGACCUCUGAUGCAUCAGCUGUCACGCCAGUGGCACGGCUGAGUAGUCACGUCUGGCACGGAUAACCGCUGAAAGCAUCUAAGCGGGAAGCCAGCUUUGAGAUGAGUAUUCGCAGUAUCCAUAGAGAACAUAUGGUUGAUAGGCUGGGGGUGCAAGUGCAGCAAUGCAUUCAGCUGACCAGUACUAAUAUUACGUCUGCUUUUA